This 429-nucleotide ribosomal RNA is filed under the name Pseudomonadota bacterium. Its description in RNAcentral is "Proteobacteria bacterium partial 16S ribosomal RNA". It matches the Rfam family "Bacterial small subunit ribosomal RNA", at positions 355 to 776 of the family's 1533-position model. Lineage: Bacteria; Pseudomonadati; Pseudomonadota. The record is from RNAcentral.
UGGGGAAUAUUGGACAAUGGGCGAAAGCCUGAUCCAGCCAUGCCGCGUGUGUGAAGAAGGUCUUCGGAUUGUAAAGCACUUUAAGUUGGGAGGAAGGGCAGUAAGCGAAUACCUUGCUGUUUUGACGUUACCGACAGAAUAAGCACCGGCUAACUCUGUGCCAGCAGCCGCGGUAAUACAGAGGGUGCAAGCGUUAAUCGGAAUUACUGGGCGUAAAGCGCGCGUAGGUGGUUCGUUAAGUUGAAUGUGAAAGCCCCGGGCUCAACCUGGGAACUGCAUCCAAAGCUGGCGGGCUAGAGUAGGGCAGAGGGUGGUGGAAUUUCCUGUGUAGCGGUGAAAUGCGUAGAGAUCUGGAGGAAUACCGAUGGCGAAGGCAGCCAUCUGGCCUAACACUGACGCUGAGGUACGAAAGCAUGGGGAGCAAACAGG